RNAcentral lists this ribosomal RNA (465 nucleotides) under uncultured bacterium. RNAcentral describes it as "partial 16S ribosomal RNA". It matches the Rfam family "Bacterial small subunit ribosomal RNA", at positions 28 to 507 of the family's 1533-position model. The record is from RNAcentral.
GACGAACGCUGGCGGCGUGCUUAACACAUGCAAGUCGAACGGAAAGGCCCCUUUUGGGGUACGGGAGUGGCGAACGGGUGAGUAACACGGGAGUAACCUGCCCUUGUCUUCGGGCUCACUUCAGGGAACUGGGGCUAAUACCGGGUAGUAAUCCUUGCUGCGUGUUGGGGGUUGGAAAGCUUCGGGGGUUUGGGAUGCACGCGCGGGUGGUCAGCCUGGUGGUCGGGCAGUGGCGUGGCAAGGCAUUGGCGGGUAGCCGGCCUGAGAGGGCGCCCGGCCACAUUGGGACUGAGCUACGGCCCAGACUGCUACGGGAGGCAGCAGUGGGGAAUAGGGCACAAUGGGCGGAAGCCUGAGGCAGCGACGCCGCGUGCGGGAUGACGGCCUUCGGGUUGUAAGCCGCGUUCAGCAGGGGUGAAGCUGGUGGUGACGGUACCUGCAGAAGAAGCACCGGCUAACUACGUG